GAGAAGGAGGGGUGAGAGGGUGAGCUUCGAGGUAGGAUAUAUGGGUAUGCAAGUCUGUCAUUUGGGUGGAGAAAAGGGACAUUUGGGUGAGCACAUCAUCAAGUUUGUUAGAGAGAGUUUUUAAACGUGUACCAUCAGCCAUGGAAAAGGACAAUGAAAGAACCAAUUGUUAAAAGUGAGAAUUAGACACUGGAUUCGAGGUCAGUGUAGCCUCCUGAGAAGAUAAUUAGAAAGAUGAGAAUGUAAUUUUUCCU
Molecule: long non-coding RNA, 254 nt
Filed under: Vigna radiata
Lineage: Eukaryota; Viridiplantae; Streptophyta; Magnoliopsida; Fabales; Fabaceae
Description: long non-coding RNA (VRAD_LNC004940)
Source: RNAcentral